Molecule: ribosomal RNA, 253 nt
Filed under: uncultured bacterium
Lineage: Bacteria
Description: partial 16S ribosomal RNA
Rfam family: Bacterial small subunit ribosomal RNA
Source: RNAcentral
UACAGAGGUCUCGAGCGUUGUUCGGAUUCAUUGGGCGUAAAGGGCGCGUAGGCUGCGGGGCAAGUCGGGUGUGAAAUCUCAGAGCUCAACUCUGAAACUGCACUCGAUACUGCUUUGCUUGAGGACUGGAGAGGAGAUUGGAAUUCACGGUGUAGCAGUGAAAUGCGUAGAUAUCGUGAGGAAGACCAGUGGCGAAGGCGGAUCUCUGGACCGAUACUGACGCUGAGGAGCGAAAGCGUGGGGAGCGAACAGG